UGUACGCUUAACUAUAAUUCGCUUUGGAUAAAAGUGUCUGCUAAAUGGCAUAUA
Molecule: non-coding RNA, 54 nt
Organism: Salmo salar (Atlantic salmon)
Lineage: Eukaryota; Metazoa; Chordata; Actinopteri; Salmoniformes; Salmonidae
Source: Rfam